RNAcentral lists this ribosomal RNA (484 nucleotides) under uncultured bacterium. Its description in RNAcentral is "partial 16S ribosomal RNA". It matches the Rfam family "Bacterial small subunit ribosomal RNA", at positions 28 to 507 of the family's 1533-position model. The record is from RNAcentral.
GAUUAACGCUAGCGGCAGGCAUAAUACAUGCAAGUUGAACGGCAGCACAGGUAGCAAUACUGGGUGGCGAGUGGCGCACGGAUGCGUAACACGUAUGCAACCUACCCUAUACAGGCGAAUAACCUUUAGAAAUGAGGGCUAAUACGCCGUAGUAUUACAGAUGGGCAUCUAUUUGUAAUUAAAGAUUUAUCGGUAUAGGAUGGGCAUGCGUCCCAUUAGUUAGUUGGUAAGGUAACGGCUUACCAAGACGAUGAUGGGUAGGGGAUCUGAGAGGACUUACCCCCACACUGGUACUGAGACACGGACCAGACUCCUACGGGAGGCAGCAGUAAGGAAUAUUGGGCAAUGGCCGCGAGGCUGACCCAGCCAUGCCGCGUGCAGGAAGACGGCCUUAUGGGUUGUAAACUGCUUUUAUACGGGAAUAAUAGAGUGUACGCGUACAUUUAUGCAAGUAUCGUAUGAAUAAGCAUCGGCUAACUCCGUG